UCCGGCUUAUCACCGGCAGUUUCCUUAGAGUGCCCACCAUAACGUGCUGGUAACUAAGGACGAGGGUUGCGCUCGUUGCGGGACUUAACCCAACAUCUCACGACACGAGCUGACGACAGCCAUGCAACACCUGUCUUGGAUCCGGCCGAACCGAAGGGUACUAUAACAUACCCGGUAAUCCAGAUGUCAAAUGGUGGUAAGGUUUUUCGCGUAGCAUCGAAUUAAACCACAUGCUCCACCGCUUGUGCGGGUCCCCGUCAAUUCCUUUGAGUUUUAAUCUUGCGACCGUACUCCCCAGGCGGGGUGCUUAACGCGUUAGCUACGUCACCGAAGCAUAAAGCCCCAAUAACUAGCACCCAUCGUUUACAGCGUGGACUAC
This 379-nucleotide unclassified non-coding RNA is filed under the name uncultured Rickettsiales bacterium. RNAcentral describes it as "contains 16S-23S intergenic spacer region". Lineage: Bacteria; Pseudomonadati; Pseudomonadota; Alphaproteobacteria; Rickettsiales. The record is from RNAcentral.